RNAcentral lists this long non-coding RNA (352 nucleotides) under Gossypium raimondii (Peruvian cotton). Its description in RNAcentral is "long non-coding RNA (GRAI_LNC004821)". The record is from RNAcentral. Lineage: Eukaryota; Viridiplantae; Streptophyta; Magnoliopsida; Malvales; Malvaceae.
AGAUUCUCACCAUAAGGUCCACCGGAGUGAAUAAGGUUGCAGUCGUAAUAGUGUUGAUUAGCGUAGUUCCGUGCAUAGGCAGCCACGGUCUUGUCCCAAAUCAUAGGGCCAACACCGACGGCUGCUCGAGCUGCAUUGUGAGCAUUGAGGUAGUCUUGUGGUGAGUCCCCUCCCAAGGCUAGGUAGUCUUGUUGUGAGUCUUGGGCUUGGGAGGGAAGGACUAGGUAGUCUUGUGGUGAGUUUUGGGCAUGGGAAGGAUGGACCAAGGCUAAGGCUAUGAGAGAAGUAAGAGCUACUAAAGUAAACUCCAUUUUGAAGUUUGAUUCUAUAAGAAUAUUGCAAUGAAGAAAAG